GCCUCCAUAGCUCAAUUGGCAGAGCACAUUACUUGUAAUAAUGUGGUUAUGAGUUCGAGUCUCAUUGGGGGCU
Molecule: transfer RNA, 73 nt
Filed under: Pseudomonadota bacterium
Lineage: Bacteria; Pseudomonadati; Pseudomonadota
Also listed under: 2 other names
Description: tRNA-Thr
Rfam family: tRNA
About the family: Transfer RNA (tRNA) molecules are approximately 80 nucleotides in length. Their secondary structure includes four short double-helical elements and three loops (D, anti-codon, and T loops). Further hydrogen bonds mediate the characteristic L-shaped molecular structure. tRNAs have two regions of fundamental functional importance: the anti-codon, which is responsible for specific mRNA codon recognition, and the 3' end, to which the tRNAs corresponding amino acid is attached (by aminoacyl-tRNA synthetases). tRNAs cope with the degeneracy of the genetic code in two manners: having more than one tRNA (with a specific anti-codon) for a particular amino acid; and 'wobble' base-pairing, i.e. permitting non-standard base-pairing at the 3rd anti-codon position.
Source: RNAcentral